Molecule: ribosomal RNA, 163 nt
Filed under: Bulbophyllum lemniscatoides
Lineage: Eukaryota; Viridiplantae; Streptophyta; Magnoliopsida; Asparagales; Orchidaceae
Description: 5.8S ribosomal RNA
Rfam family: 5.8S ribosomal RNA
About the family: 5.8S ribosomal RNA (5.8S rRNA) is a component of the large subunit of the eukaryotic ribosome.
Source: RNAcentral
ACACGACUCUCGGCAAUGGAUAUCUCGGCUCUCGCAUCGAUGAAGAGCGCAGCGAAAUGCGAUACGUGGUGCGAAUUGCAGAAUCCCGCGAACCAUCGAGUCUUUGAACGCAAGUUGCGCCCGAGGCCAACCGGCCAAGGGCACGUCCGCCUGGGCGUCAAAC